ACAGGUCCCAGAGUGGUGAACAUCUUCAAUUCUACAGAAUUGAGCUGAAAUGGCAUMCAAACGAGMGAGUCUUCUGCUGGUCGUUUUAGUUAUAUGUUUGCUCAGUGAAACAAUGCAUGUCCARGGCUCUUUUCCAGCAAUAAAUUGGGGUAAAAGAGAAGAAAAGGUACAGAUGACAAAGAACAACCUAGUUAAAAGAGURUGUGAAACAGCCAAGCUCUUAAACUGUAAAGUUCACUGCGAAAAUAACAAAAGCUGACUGAAGAUCAACCUGAAAACGGAUAAUAGAUGGCCGCCAUAUGAAAUUGUAUGGUGAAAUUUUAAAGUAAAUUGAGAUAUAAAGAGGCUCAUAAAAUUGUAGUGACAAUUUAGARAAUUGCAUUAUAAUGACCAAGAACUUAUAAUAUAAUAAUAAURAUAUAAUUAUCAAUUUUGGGUUUGCAAAUCSUUGUAAGACGAGUAUGUUUGAUAUUAAGAUAUAAUAUGAUUACUGCAAUCUCUGAAUAAAUAGUCCCCUAAACAUUAAAAAAAAACAUGAGAAAA
Long non-coding RNA from Exaiptasia diaphana, 543 nucleotides. RefSeq lists it as uncharacterized. Lineage: Eukaryota; Metazoa; Cnidaria; Anthozoa; Actiniaria; Aiptasiidae. The record is from RefSeq and is a predicted model, not a curated record. The transcript is spliced from 2 exons.